This 250-nucleotide ribosomal RNA is filed under the name uncultured Blastocatella sp. Its description in RNAcentral is "partial 16S ribosomal RNA". It matches the Rfam family "Bacterial small subunit ribosomal RNA", at positions 524 to 773 of the family's 1533-position model. The record is from RNAcentral. Lineage: Bacteria; Pseudomonadati; Acidobacteriota; Blastocatellia; Blastocatellales; Blastocatellaceae.
UACGUAGGGACCAAGCGUUGUUCGGAUUUACUGGGCGUAAAGGGCGCGUAGGCGGUUUGUCAAGUCAGUUGUGAAAUCUCCGAGCUUAACUCGGAACGGUCAACUGAUACUGUCAAACUAGAGUACAGAAGGGGCAAUCGGAAUUCUUGGUGUAGCGGUGAAAUGCGUAGAUAUCAAGAGGAACACCUGAGGUGAAGACGGGUUGCUGGGCUGAUACUGACGCUGAGGCGCGAAAGCUAGGGUAGCAAAC